GACGAACGCUGGCGGCGCGCUUAACACAUGCAAGUCGUGCGAUACCUCGAGCGAGUCUUACGACAAGCUCAAGGUAGAGCGGCGGACGGGUGAGUAACACGUGAGUAGCUGUCCUAAGGAGGGGGAUAACGCCUGGAAACGGGUGCUAAAACCCCAUAUGCCUCGCAAGAGGUGAAAGUGUAUUACUGCAGCCUUAGGGUGUGCUCGCGGCCUAUCAGCUAGUUGGUGAGGUAAUGGCUCACCAAGGCUAAGACGGGUAGCCGGCCUGAGAGGGUGUACGGCCACACUGGAAUUGAGAUACGGUCCAGACUCCUACGGGAGGCAGCAGUGGGGAAUCUUGGGCAAUGGGCGAAAGCCUGACCCAGCGACGCCGCGUUGGGGAUGAAGCCCUUCGGGGUGUAAACCCAUGUUGUAGGGGACGAAGAAAGUGACGGUACCCUACGAGGAAGCCCCGGCUAACUACGUGCCAGCAGCCGCGGUAAGACGUAGGGGGCGAGCGUUGUCCGGAAUUACUGGGCGUAAAGGGCACGCAGGCGGUGCGCCAAGUCGAGGGUGUAAAGUUACGGCUCAACCGUGACAUUGCAAUCGAUACUGGCGCGCUGGAGUGCGGGAGAGGGAAGUGGAAUUCCCGGUGUAGCGGUGAAAUGCGUAGAUAUCGGGAGGAACGCCAGUGGCGAAGGCGGCUUCCUGGCCCGCGACUGACGCUCAUGUGCGAAAGCCAGGGGAGCGAACC
Molecule: ribosomal RNA, 733 nt
Filed under: Acetomicrobium sp. enrichment culture
Lineage: Bacteria; Thermotogati; Synergistota; Synergistia; Synergistales; Acetomicrobiaceae
Description: bacterial SSU rRNA
Rfam family: Bacterial small subunit ribosomal RNA
Source: RNAcentral